AUGAACGCUAGCGGCAGGCUUAAUACAUGCAAGUUGAGGGGCAGCAUGAUAUACGCGAGUAUAUUGAUGGCGACCGGGCGGACGGGUGAGUAAUAGGUAGGAGACCUACCUCAUACAGGGGGAUAGCAUAGAGAAAUCUGUGGUAAUACCCCAUGAGGUUAUAUGAAUAGAGGCAUAUAAUCAAAGCAUAAGCGAUUAUGCGGUAUGAGAGGGGCCUACUGACCAUUAGCUAGUUGGUGAGGUAAGGGCUCACCAAGGCGAAGAUGGUUAGGGGUUUUGAGAGAGAGACCCCCCCACAUUGGAACUGAGAGACGGUCCAGACUCCUACGGGAGGCAGCAGUAGGGAAUAUUGGGCAAUGGGCGAAAGCCUGACCCCAGCCAUGCCGCGUGAAGGAAGACGGCCUUAUGGGUUGUAAACUUCUUUACUACGCGAAUAGAGGUUAGUACGAGAUACUAAUAGGAAGGUAGUGUAGUAAAAAGCACCGGCUAACUCCGUG
RNAcentral lists this ribosomal RNA (497 nucleotides) under uncultured bacterium. Its description in RNAcentral is "bacterial SSU rRNA". It matches the Rfam family "Bacterial small subunit ribosomal RNA", at positions 30 to 507 of the family's 1533-position model. The record is from RNAcentral.